UUUCCGUAGGUGAACCUGCGGAAGGAUCAUUACUGAGUGUUUUGAGUUCUACUCAAAUCCUCCCACCCUUUGUUUAAAUGACCUGUUGCUUCGGUGAGACUGACAACUUGUUGUCGGUUGGCUGAUUUCACGAUCAGUGAGCUAGUUUGCUCACCGAAGUUUUUUACAACUCUUUUAUUUCAAGAUAUUUGAGAAAACAAAACAAAAAAUUAAAACUUUCAACAACGGAUCUCUUGGUUCUGGCAUCGAUGAAGAACGCAGC
Molecule: unclassified non-coding RNA, 262 nt
Filed under: uncultured fungus
Lineage: Eukaryota; Fungi
Description: sequence contains ITS1, 5.8S rRNA gene
Rfam family: 5.8S ribosomal RNA (bases 214-262)
Source: RNAcentral